UGUAGCUCAACUGGUAGAGCAACUGACUUGUAAUCAGUAGGUUGGGGGUUCAAGUCCUCUCGCCGGCACCA
RNAcentral lists this transfer RNA (71 nucleotides) under Paenibacillus anaericanus. RNAcentral's name for it is "tRNA-Thr". It matches the Rfam family "tRNA". From Rfam's summary of the family: Transfer RNA (tRNA) molecules are approximately 80 nucleotides in length. Their secondary structure includes four short double-helical elements and three loops (D, anti-codon, and T loops). The record is from RNAcentral. Lineage: Bacteria; Bacillati; Bacillota; Bacilli; Caryophanales; Paenibacillaceae.